ACCGCAGCCACCAAGAACAGUAAGGAUCAGCUGACGCCAUAAACACACCGUCAGCCUUCACCCAGGGGAGACCCGCCACCAUAUCUUCGUGUAAACUGUACGUGUUACCAAGAACAAGAAGAGCUUUGACAAGCCGCUGGCUACCCGUUCCAGUCGUGGUCACUAGAUGCUGGGCCUCGGGUUUGGGAUAUUGGCCGAGAUGUGCGACUAAUAGAAGAGUCCAUUUAAUAUCACCUUUUCCUGGUCCCUAUGGACCAGCAAUUGGAGUAUUAUGUGCAUAUGAAGUGACCAUGCAGAGGGACUUAACAGAAAUUUAGUUGGCCAUGAAGUAGUUGUAAAUUAUUCUGCUAGUAUUCAAAAGAAACAUGGGUUGUUAGAUCAGACACUUCUGAAGAAGAGCAUCAGGAACUACACUUACGGGCUAUUCAUGCCUGUGCCAUCUCUUGGGUGGCUUAAUCUUCAUCAAUCAAUCCAGAACUACAGUGAAUUUCCACGAGUGAGACAUUAUACACUCCUACCUGGGAAGUCUCUGAGCCCAGAUUGGCAGUAACGCAAAGCCUGAGGACAUAUGGGUUGGGGUUGAAUCUGGAAAUGUUGCCUGGAAGACAUUCUAGCAAGUUCAAGCCUUUUCAGGUUAGUUAAUUUCCAUUGGUUAUAUGGUAUGUGGUUUGAAGAUUAGAUAUGUUUUGAUAACUGAUAUUUAGUAAAAUCUUUAUAAUGAUUUCUAAACAGUUUUUGGUAUAUUUAAUUUCCAUUAACGUUUAGUUACAAAACAAGAGGCAAUAGUGUGAAAUGAAUUCUGGUUGACACCUAGUAUUUGUGGGUUAAGGCAGAACUAAAUUCAUUGGGUGGUUGUAGAACCAUCUACUGAAAUCAGUAGUUCUUCAGCUUAUAAUAAUGGGUUAAGGCAGGUGUCUAACCAGAAUGCUAGUCACACCAUUGCACCUCUAGUCUUCAGAUCACAUAUGAUUAAAUAUUACUGGUUCCUAAACCAGUAGUGUAAUACUUUGAUCAGGAAGUAAAUAAACUUAGGGAUACACCGAGACAUUUUAUUAU
This is a non-coding RNA of Procambarus clarkii (red swamp crayfish), 1056 nucleotides long. The record is from RefSeq and is a predicted model, not a curated record. NCBI's taxonomy places the organism in Eukaryota, Metazoa, Arthropoda, Malacostraca, Decapoda, Cambaridae.